CGGGAGGCAGCAGUGGGGAAUUUUGGACAAUGGGCGCAAGCCUGAUCCAGCCAUGCCGCGUGCAGGAUGAAGGCCUUCGGGUUGUAAACUGCUUUUGUACGGAACGAAAAGGUCUUUUUUAAUAAAGAGGGCCCAUGACGGUACCGUAAGAAUAAGCACCGGCUAACUACGUGCCAGCAGCCGCGGUAAUACGUAGGGUGCGAGCGUUAAUCGGAAUUACUGGGCGUAAAGCGUGCGCAGGCGGUUAUGUAAGACAGUUGUGAAAUCCCCGGGCUCAACCUGGGAACUGCAUCUGUGACUGCAUAGCUAGAGUACGGUAGAGGGGGAUGGAAUUCCGCGUGUAGCAGUGAAAUGCGUAGAUAUGCGGAGGAACACCGAUGGCGAAGGCAAUCCCCUGGACCUGUACUGACGCUCAUGCACGAAAGCGUGGGGAGCAAACAGGAUUAGAUACCCGCGU
Molecule: ribosomal RNA, 457 nt
Filed under: uncultured Variovorax sp.
Lineage: Bacteria; Pseudomonadati; Pseudomonadota; Betaproteobacteria; Burkholderiales; Comamonadaceae
Description: bacterial SSU rRNA
Rfam family: Bacterial small subunit ribosomal RNA
Source: RNAcentral